AUGUCCCAGACUGUGUUUUUGUUUUUUGGAAGGGGGAAGCUGAUUAUGAACCGGCAGUUUAAAAAUUUGUUAAAAAAAAAAAAAAAAAAAAAAAAAAAAUUAACCACCCCUCUUUUAUUGUCUAUUUUUGCUCUAAAUCAUUUUCCACGAACUGCGAGCUGUACGUGGAUUCAUGUCCUAAACCAGAUGAUGAAGAAUAGACUGUUACUACCAAGGUUACAGUCUCCCAUUACCCCAAAAUGAAAUCUGAAAGGUCGUCCAUUUCUGCAUAAAACCCACACCGGCC
This 286-nucleotide long non-coding RNA is filed under the name Saimiri boliviensis boliviensis (Bolivian squirrel monkey). RNAcentral describes it as "lncRNA (ENSSBOG00000036763.1)". Lineage: Eukaryota; Metazoa; Chordata; Mammalia; Primates; Cebidae. The record is from RNAcentral.